This 1343-nucleotide ribosomal RNA is filed under the name uncultured bacterium. RNAcentral describes it as "16S ribosomal RNA". It matches the Rfam family "Bacterial small subunit ribosomal RNA", at positions 28 to 1378 of the family's 1533-position model. The record is from RNAcentral.
GACGAACGCUGGCGGCGUGCUUAACACAUGCAAGUCGAACGGAAAGGCCCUGCUUUUGUGGGGUGCUCGAGUGGCGAACGGGUGAGUAACACGUGAGUAACCUGCCCUUGACUUUGGGAUAACUUCAGGAAACUGGGGCUAAUACCGGAUAGGAGCUCCUGCUGCAUGGUGGGGGUUGGAAAGUUUCGGCGGUUGGGGAUGGACUCGCGGCUUAUCAACUUGUUGGUGGGGUAGUGGCUUACCAAGGCUUUGACGGGUAGCCGGCCUGAGAGGGUGACCGGCCACAUUGGGACUGAGAUACGGCCCAGACUCCUACGGGAGGCAGCAGUGGGGAAUAUUGCACAAUGGGCGGAAGCCUGAUGCAGCAACGCCGCGUGCGGGAUGACGGCCUUCGGGUUGUAAACCGCUUUCGCCUGUGACGAAGCGUGAGUGACGGUAAUGGGUAAAGAAGCACCGGCUAACUACGUGCCAGCAGCCGCGGUGGUACGUAGGGUGCGAGCGUUGUCCGGAUUUAUUGGGCGUAAAGGGCUCGUAGGUGGUUGAUCGCGUCGGAAGUGUAAUCUUGGGGCUUAACCCUGAGCGUGCUUUCGAUACGGGUUGACUUGAGGAAGGUAGGGGAGAAUGGAAUUCCUGGUGGAGCGGUGGAAUGCGCAGAUAUCAGGAGGAACACCAGUGGCGAAGGCGGUUCUCUGGGCCUUUCCUGACGCUGAGGAGCGAAAGCGUGGGGAGCGAACAGGCUUAGAUACCCUGGUAGUCCACGCUGUAAACGGUGGGUACUAGGUGUGGGGUCCAUUCCACGGGUUCCGUGCCGUAGCUAACGCUUUAAGUACCCCGCCUGGGGAGUACGGCCGCAAGGCUAAAACUCAAAGGAAUUGACGGGGCCCCGCACAAGCGGCGGAGCAUGCGGAUUAAUUCGAUGCAACGCGUAGAACCUUACCUGGGUUUGACAUGGAUCGGGAGUGCUCAGAGAUGGGUGUGCCUCUUUUGGGGUCGGUUCACAGGUGGUGCAUGGCUGUCGUCAGCUCGUGUCGUGAGAUGUUGGGUUAAGUCCCGCAACGAGCGCAACCCUUGUUCACUGUUGCCAGCACGUUAUGGUGGGGACUCAGUGGAGACCGCCGGGGUCAACUCGGAGGAAGGUGGGGAUGACGUCAAGUCAUCAUGCCCCUUAUGUCCAGGGCUUCACGCAUGCUACAAUGGCUGGUACAGAGAGUGGCGAGCCUGUGAGGGUGAGCGAAUCUCGGAAAGCCGGUCUCAGUUCGGAUUGGGGUCUGCAACUCGACCUCAUGAAGUCGGAGUCGCUAGUAAUCGCAGAUCAGCAACGCUGCGGUGAAUACGUUCCCGGG